This 2205-nucleotide long non-coding RNA is filed under the name Homo sapiens (human). Its description in RNAcentral is "HSALNT0384523". The record is from RNAcentral. Lineage: Eukaryota; Metazoa; Chordata; Mammalia; Primates; Hominidae.
UCAUGCCACUGCACUCCAGCCUGGGCAACAGAGUGAGAUUCCAUCUCAAAAAAAUAAAAAAAGUGAGGUGAAGUCUCCUACCAUUAUCGUAGACCUAUCUGUUUCUCCUUUCAUUCUACAGUGUUUGCUUAAUAUAUUUAGGAGCUCUGAGGUGUGUUGCAUGUACAUUUAUAACUGUUACAUCUUUUUGGUGAAUUGACUGUUAUCAUUAUCUCUUAUAACAGCUUUUGACCUUAGGUCGAUUUUGUCUGAUAUUAGUAUAGCUACUCCUUCUCUAUCUUAUUUCAUCCUUUCACUUUCAACCUGUGUAAGUCUCUCAGUCUUCUGAUGGUGGAAUUCAUUUGUAUUUUUAAAGAUUAUCAUUCUGAUGCAACUGACUAACCUGGUGACUGUGUCAUGAGGCCCACAGCCAAGGACUGCGGUGACCAGUUGCUGUGGGGAGACUCCAGCACAUUACUGACGGGACUUCCCGAUGGGGAAGGACUUCCUGGUGCCACGCUGUUGAUUGUUUUCUGCAUGGCUUAUGGUUUGCUUUCUCUGUCAUUUCGUCCCUUUGUGUUUAAUUGAUGUUUUUAUUGUGACACACUUAGGAUCUCAUUUGCUUUUGUGUACGUUCUGUAGAUAUGUUGUCAUUACCAUGGGGAUUACACGAAACAUCCUGAAGUUAGAGCAAUCCAUUUUAAACUGAUGUUUUGUUGAUGGCUGACGUAGCGGACUCAAAACAACGAGCACUUCUGCUUGAUACACAGAUUCUCCGAGGUUCCUGUGGAGCCACAGCACCUCCUGUCUUGGCACUUCAUAGUUGUCUCAUCGAGUCCAAGGCUGCCUCCCAAGGGUCUGGCUGGUAGACCAUGAAGUUGAUUCCUGCCUUAAGCCUGGCUCUGCAAGAAGUUGUCCUAUAUUCUCACCAGUCACAUUUUUGGUACUAGAACGGUGCUUUUUAUAGUGCACUCGUAACUGGACGCUGAAAUCACAGCCUGGCCAUUUGGAUGUUCAACCGAUGCUUUAUGCUGCUGAGUCCUUGGAACUCACUCCCCGUGCCGGAACUCACUGGAGCUCAGAUAGGUUGAAGCCCUAACCUUCUAUACCUGUGAACGUGGUGUUAUUCGGAAAUAGGUUUUUUGCAAAAGUAAUCAAGUUGAGGCCAUAGUGGAUGAAGGUAGGCCACACACCCAAUGAAUGCUGUCCCUGUGAGAAGACCAUGUGAAGAUGCCACCCAGAAGGCAGAAGGCCACCACGUGGGACAGAGGCAGAGACUGGUGUGAUGCCACCACAGCCGUGGGUCCUGGCAACCACCAGAAGCUGGAGGUGCUACAGAAGGAUCUUCCCUAGGACUUUGAGAGGGAGUGUGGCCCUGCUGACAACUUGCUUUUGGACUUCUGGCCUCUAGAACUGUGACACCAUACCUGUCUGUUGCAUUAAGCCUUCCAGUUGGUGGCAAUUUAAUACAGUAGUCCUAGGAAUCGAAUGCAGGGUGCUUACUAAACAUGCAGAAGCAUGUCGAUCUCUGAGGAGAUCCAAGUUGGUAAUAGGGCUACAGCCCAGGACUCCUGUGGAAUUUAACCAAGCACAAUGUGAUCUUGCCAGGCAGGUGGGGGCAGGGGACGGUCUGCAGACCACACGGAGUUGGCCCUGGAUGGCUCCCAGCAUCUGAGCUCAGCCCCGCUGGGUGUCACUGAAGAGCAAGGGCCAUGCCUGCCUCUGUGUAGCCUGGGUGAAUGCCUGACCUCCCUGAAUCUGUCCCUCAUCUGUCCUGGGGCCACUGGGUUGGGGUGAGCAAGAAACAAGGCUGGGAAAGCCUUCUGACCACUCCACAGACCCCAGAAUGGACCAAGUGAGAAUAGCUGUCCCAAAUAAAUCGGGGAUAGGGAAGCAAGAGGACCAGCCUCUUGCCGAGCAUCCGCCAUGGGUUCACUCCCAGGGCUCCAGUUCCAUCAGGCACGGGGCUUACAGAGCCGGGGGCAGGCAGGGGCCUGGCUGGAAACGGGGAAGUGACAGUCAGUCCCGGAGAACAAGAACCUUGGAAGGAGAAACUCCUUUGAAAUGGCCACGGCUGCUGAACUCUCAACCCAGAAAUGCCAUCCUCAUUCAGCUCGGAUGCCGGGAAGGGAGGGAACUCCCCUCUCACAAGCACCUGCUACAUGCAGAUGUUGUACAAAUGUGUUUGCUCCUAACCAUUCUGCAAGGGAGAUGGUAUUUGUUCCC